Molecule: ribosomal RNA, 651 nt
Filed under: Staphylococcus aureus
Lineage: Bacteria; Bacillati; Bacillota; Bacilli; Caryophanales; Staphylococcaceae
Description: partial 23S ribosomal RNA
Rfam family: Bacterial large subunit ribosomal RNA
Source: RNAcentral
GAUUAAGUUAUUAAGGGCGCACGGUGGAUGCCUUGGCACUAGAAGCCGAUGAAGGACGUUACUAACAACGAUAUGCUUUGGGGAGCUGUAAGUAAGCUUUGAUCCAGAGAUUUCCGAAUGGGGAAACCCAGCAUGAGUUAUGUCAUGUUAUCGAUAUGUGAAUACAUAGCAUAUCAGAAGGCACACCCGGAGAACUGAAACAUCUUAGUACCCGGAGGAAGAGAAAGAAAAUUCGAUUCCCUUAGUAGCGGCGAGCGAAACGGGAAGAGCCCAAACCAACAAGCUUGCUUGUUGGGGUUGUAGGACACUCUAUACGGAGUUACAAAGGACGACAUUAGACGAAUCAUCUGGAAAGAUGAAUCAAAGAAGGUAAUAAUCCUGUAGUCGAAAAUGUUGUCUCUCUUGAGUGGAUCCUGAGUACGACGGAGCACGUGAAAUUCCGUCGGAAUCUGGGAGGACCAUCUCCUAAGGCUAAAUACUCUCUAGUGACCGAUAGUGAACCAGUACCGUGAGGGAAAGGUGAAAAGCACCCCGGAAGGGGAGUGAAAUAGAACCUGAAACCGUGUGCUUACAAGUAGUCAGAGCCCGUUAAUGGGUGAUGGCGUGCCUUUUGUAGAAUGAACCGGCGAGUUACGAUUUGAUGCAAGGUUA